This 1343-nucleotide ribosomal RNA is filed under the name Staphylococcus aureus. RNAcentral's name for it is "partial 23S ribosomal RNA". It matches the Rfam family "Bacterial large subunit ribosomal RNA", at positions 1578 to 2925 of the family's 2925-position model. The record is from RNAcentral. Lineage: Bacteria; Bacillati; Bacillota; Bacilli; Caryophanales; Staphylococcaceae.
UUGUGUCUUCGAGUCGUUGAUUUCACACUGCCGAGAAAAGCCUCUAGAUAGAAAAUAGGUGCCCGUACCGCAAACCGACACAGGUAGUCAAGAUGAGAAUUCUAAGGUGAGCGAGCGAACUCUCGUUAAGGAACUCGGCAAAAUGACCCCGUAACUUCGGGAGAAGGGGUGCUCUUUAGGGUUAACGCCCAGAAGAGCCGCAGUGAAUAGGCCCAAGCGACUGUUUAUCAAAAACACAGGUCUCUGCUAAACCGUAAGGUGAUGUAUAGGGGCUGACGCCUGCCCGGUGCUGGAAGGUUAAGAGGAGUGGUUAGCUUCUGCGAAGCUACGAAUCGAAGCCCCAGUAAACGGCGGCCGUAACUAUAACGGUCCUAAGGUAGCGAAAUUCCUUGUCGGGUAAGUUCCGACCCGCACGAAAGGCGUAACGAUUUGGGCACUGUCUCAACGAGAGACUCGGUGAAAUCAUAGUACCUGUGAAGAUGCAGGUUACCCGCGACAGGACGGAAAGACCCCGUGGAGCUUUACUGUAGCCUGAUAUUGAAAUUCGGCACAGCUUGUACAGGAUAGGUAGGAGCCUUUGAAACGUGAGCGCUAGCUUACGUGGAGGCGCUGGUGGGAUACUACCCUAGCUGUGUUGGCUUUCUAACCCGCACCACUUAUCGUGGUGGGAGACAGUGUCAGGCGGGCAGUUUGACUGGGGCGGUCGCCUCCUAAAAGGUAACGGAGGCGCUCAAAGGUUCCCUCAGAAUGGUUGGAAAUCAUUCAUAGAGUGUAAAGGCAUAAGGGAGCUUGACUGCGAGACCUACAAGUCGAGCAGGGUCGAAAGACGGACUUAGUGAUCCGGUGGUUCCGCAUGGAAGGGCCAUCGCUCAACGGAUAAAAGCUACCCCGGGGAUAACAGGCUUAUCUCCCCCAAGAGUUCACAUCGACGGGGAGGUUUGGCACCUCGAUGUCGGCUCAUCGCAUCCUGGGGCUGUAGUCGGUCCCAAGGGUUGGGCUGUUCGCCCAUUAAAGCGGUACGCGAGCUGGGUUCAGAACGUCGUGAGACAGUUCGGUCCCUAUCCGUCGUGGGCGUAGGAAAUUUGAGAGGAGCUGUCCUUAGUACGAGAGGACCGGGAUGGACAUACCUCUGGUGUACCAGUUGUCGUGCCAACGGCAUAGCUGGGUAGCUAUGUGUGGACGGGAUAAGUGCUGAAAGCAUCUAAGCAUGAAGCCCCCCUCAAGAUGAGAUUUCCCAACUUCGGUUAUAAGAUCCCUCAAAGAUGAUGAGGUUAAUAGGUUCGAGGUGGAAGCAUGGUGACAUGUGGAGCUGACGAAUACUAAUCGAUCGAAGACUUAAUCAA